This 490-nucleotide unclassified non-coding RNA is filed under the name uncultured Helotiales. RNAcentral's name for it is "sequence contains ITS1, 5.8S rRNA gene, ITS2". The stretch from base 224 to 377 matches the Rfam family "5.8S ribosomal RNA". The record is from RNAcentral. Lineage: Eukaryota; Fungi; Ascomycota; Leotiomycetes; Helotiales.
AGGAAGUAAAAGUCGUAACAAGGUCUCCGUAGGUGAACCUGCGGAGGGAUCAUUACCGAGUUCAUGCCCUUACGGGUAGAUCUCCCACCCUAUGUUAUCUUACCUUUGUUGCUUUGGCGGGCCGACAGGCUUCGGUCAGUCUACCGGCUCCGGCUGGUAAGCGCCCGCCAGAGGACCCCAAACUCUGAAUUUUAGUGUCGUCUGAGUACUAUCUAAUAGUUAAAACUUUCAACAACGGAUCUCUUGGUUCUGGCAUCGAUGAAGAACGCAGCGAAAUGCGAUAAGUAAUGUGAAUUGCAGAAUUCAGUGAAUCAUCGAAUCUUUGAACGCACAUUGCGCCCCUUGGUAUUCCGAGGGGCAUGCCUGUUCGAGCGUCAUUACAACCCUCAAGCUCUGCUUGGCAUUGGGCUCCGCGGCUUACCCCGCGGGCCUUAAAAUCAGUGGCGGCGUCUUCAGGCUCUGAACGUAGUAAAUAUUCCUCGUUACGGAG